AGCCCAUAAGCUAGCUCGCACCUCAAAAUACAACAACUCACUAUUAAUAACCCCUAACUAAACCAAAAGCACUUUAGCCAAAUCAUUUUACCCCCCUAGUAUGGGCGACAGAAAAGGACACAUCGAAGCAAUAGCAAAAGUACCGUAAGGGAACGCUGAAAGAGAAGUGAAACAACCCAGUAAAGCUAAAAAAAGCAGAGCUAGACCCUCGUACCUUUUGCAUCAUGAUUUAGCAAGAAAACAUCAAGCAAAGAGUAUUUUAGUUUGAUUUCCCGAAACCAAGUGAGCUACUCCAAGACAGCCUCUAAGGGCACACCCGUCUCUGUGGCAAAAGAGUGGGAAGAUCUUCGAGUAGGGGUGACAGACCUACCGAACUUGGUUAUAGCUGGUUGCCCAGGAAGUGAAUAGGAGUUCAGCCUUUUGUCCCCUCUCCGCACAUUAAUCGAUUCCAUCCUCGAAGCGCCUGAGUAAGACAAUAGAGUUAGUCAAAGGGGGUACAGCCCCUUUGAAAGAGAUACAACUUUACCAGAAGGGUUAAGAUCAUAACUCUUUAUAAGGGAAUGUGUUCUAGUUGGCCUAAGAGCAGCCACCCAUACAGAAAGCGUUAAAGCUCAAACACCUCCCCUCCCCUAUUAUCCAGACCACACAAUCUUAUCCCCCUUAACACACUGAGCCCUCCCAUACCCCUAUGGGAGAGAUUAUGCUAAAAUGAGUAAUAAGAGACCCUUGAAUCUCUCCCUGCACAAGUGUACAUCGGAACGAACCAACACCGAAAACUAACGGCCCCAAGAACAGAGGGCACUGAAAUAUAAUGACCAACCACGAGAAAACCAUCCACCUCGUAAAACCGUUAAUCUUACACUAGCGUGCCUACAAGGAAAGACUAAAAGAAAAAGAAGGAACUCGGCA
RNAcentral lists this ribosomal RNA (909 nucleotides) under Ostorhinchus taeniophorus (reef-flat cardinalfish). Its description in RNAcentral is "partial 16S rRNA". The stretch from base 193 to 909 matches the Rfam family "Bacterial large subunit ribosomal RNA", at positions 568 to 1719 of the family's 2925-position model. The record is from RNAcentral. Lineage: Eukaryota; Metazoa; Chordata; Actinopteri; Kurtiformes; Apogonidae.